Long non-coding RNA from Strigops habroptila (Kakapo), 3945 nucleotides. RefSeq lists it as uncharacterized. The record is from RefSeq and is a predicted model, not a curated record. NCBI's taxonomy places the organism in Eukaryota, Metazoa, Chordata, Aves, Psittaciformes, Psittacidae. The transcript is spliced from 6 exons.
AGACAUUUCAUAAAUAGAUAAUUCUCUAAUUGAUCCAGCCAAUCCUACUUUGCAUACCCUGCCAAACUAGCACAGACUCUUUAGUGCAGUCCUGAUUUCUGUAUUAAUGAAUUGCGAAGAUGACAUCAGGCUCUUAGCAUUCAUAAUAAAGCGAACAUGGUGUUUUGGAGCAAUAUGACAUCUCAAGUAAUCUUCUUAACAAAUCCAGAGCUGCUGGUCCAGAUAAAUGUCAUACUGCUUGUCCCAUAUAACCUGAAAGCAAGUAUGGAAAUGAGGACUCUUCAAAAGACACUUGCUCAAUAGCUUAAUGUAAGAGGGAGAAUAAGAAGAAGAUGGAGGGGAGCUGGAGCUUGAGAAGGCAAACUGUGUAACAACAACCACCAAGUGAAGGAAGGAGAAACAGUGAAGGUGCUCUGCGUUUCAGAGAAUACUUGCUCAACUGUUUAUUCCCCUCCAUUAGAUGAUGAACUGGUGAUAUGGCAACACUGAAACCAUGUCUGCAAAACAUUUGGAGAUUUUGAGGAACAAGGUUGAAGAAAACUGAGAAAUAUUACUACUUUAUAUUUACUUUUCCAGAAUUUAUGAAUUUUUUCGAUACCUCUGCUAGUGAAGGUUUAACUGUGUUUUCUCUGGUCCCACACACUUUUUUGUGGGAAACCUUGCAGUUCAUGGAAAAAAAAAAAAGAGAACAUCACUGGAACUGCAACAUAACUGCAGAAGCAUCUGCACUAACCUAGAAAAUCAUCCACACUUCCAUCAGAGCUUAGUCUUCAUUGAAGCUAUGGCUCAUAAUUAACAACUAUCAGCUGCUGUGAUUACCAGAUAUUUUGAAUUAAAACUGUAUUCAGGUUGAUUUUCAGGUCGUGUGUUAUCAGAUACUUGUGUUGAAAUGGCUGUUCAGACAAGCUUUCAGAAACAAAGCAUUGUACAGCACAAGGUACAGUUCCUUAUGCUCCAAGAAGAUGGAGAAGCAAUCAAGUUUCAUGAGAUAGAGUGGAACUGACUUACUUGGAUUGAAUAGGAGUUUUGACUCCCUAGAUGUCGUGAGAGUCAAACACAAUGAAUUGCCUGAAGAAGUGCUGGAGAAUUUGCCUGAAAUUGGUUCUUCAAAGAAACUGUAAAUAAAGCUGUGGGGUCAUAUUUAGAGGACAAUGGACUUAUGAUGAACCAGCCAUAUGAGGGCCUCUUCUAAGCACGCAACCGCAUACCAAGAAGAAGAUAAGAGGAAGAAAACAUCUGCAGUAGGAUACAUGGGAGGAACACCAGGAACUAGAUGAACCAAUAAGGACACUUACCGAGCAGCGUGAUUGCCUCGUGCCAAAGGGCUUUUACCAAUCAAAAGGCGCGUGACCGCAUGUAGGGAUAGAAAACUCUGUAUAUAAAGGGAUAGUGAGAACAAUAAAGCAGCUUCUGCUUGAUUCACUUUGAAUUGUGUAGAGUCCGUUGUCAUCUCUCCUCAUAAAGCUUUAUGCAGCGUAUCUUCUAUGAACAGUUAAGAGGUCUUCCUCCCUUCAGGGUCACCAUGCUAUCAGGAGAACAAAGGGGUGGCCAUUUUCAGGGUAAGAAUAUAGCAACUUUUUUUUCAGGAAUGAGCACUAAGCACAAUCAGCACCCUUGAGAAUGAGGCUGAAGGCCCCAAACCUUCACAGAUGGUGCCUUCACAGAACAUGACUCUACAUGUAAACCCCUGAGAUCUACAUGAAUAUGCAACCAGAUACCAUCAGAUAUCAGUUCUAUUUUGGUUGAAAAGGGACCUUCCCGCAAACACAUGCAGAAAUGUGUUGCUACUCCACAAAGAACCCCUUCUCUGCUUAAGUUCUGCACUGAAAUUUCUUUUUACCUGUGGAUGAAUUAAGCAUAAGGCUGGUCAUUCAAUAUGGACUAUGAACUCAAUGUUCAAAACCAAGACAAACAGUACAGGAAUGGGAUGAAAUAUUUAUUGAAGCAUUUUUGUCAGCCAAAGCCAGGUAAUAUAUGUAUUACAGAUUUACUCCACAAGGGAAUAACAUUGUGUACUUCAGAUCACCGCAGGAAAAAAAAAAAAAAGAAAAUUAAUAAAAAUAUUUCUGCAUUAAAAGUGAUUUUAUUGCUGUUUAAUUUUCUAACCCAAAUGACAUCCAAAACCUUCCAAGAUAAGCAAGUCUCCAAAAUGUCUUCUCUCCUGAAAUCUUCAUGUGCAUCUAGCAUUUCUCUAAACUCUGGUGAUGAAAGAAAAAAGAGAAACCAGCUGACAUUUGAAGUUCAUCUCCCUCAUCAUGAGCUGCAUGGACAACUUUGGUUAGCUUGGCUGCUUCCUCUUUAAUCCAUGGGAAAACUAAGCUUGGCUAACCUUUCACUCAGUGUGGUUUGUUACCUCUUCCUUUUCCAUGCUGGCUCAACUUUCAUGGCUGACAUGUUAAAUAAUCUGGCGGAGCCUGUGUUAGUCCCUCACAAAUCUGCACAGGAGGAAAGAAAGGGAACAAAAAGGUAACGGUAAAACAGCCACAAAUGCUGGUGUCUGUGGCUAUAGAUUCACGGAGCAGGUGGCUUAUGCAAUGGAAGCCUUUGUGUUUUCUCAUGCACAUGAUUUGCUGGCACAUGACUAAACUCUGAGUGCAGACACAUGGCUCCAGAGACAUUUGCUCAGUUUAUGGGGUGAAGGAAAAAAGCCGAAUAUAUAUUUCAGAACAUAUUAGAUAUUUCUGAAAUACUUGAUGGUACAUAUACUGUGUGUUUAGUACAUGCACUAUGUCUCAAAGUACUCAUGCAUGGAUAUUUACUUUUAUUAUUUAUAGACCAGUUACAACACCAAGCCCACUUCCAGACAUCAAGAAUAAACCUAUAUUUCACAGCUAUUUUUAUAACUGAUAGUAAAUCUUGUAGAUGGUGUGAGUACUGUGAAAGUUAUCUGACCUUGAGCAAAAAGAAACCCCACAGGAAGACUUCUAUCUCAGAAAGCAUCGUGGUUGCUUAUUUGCAGCCAGGGACAGUUUGGAUCUACCAUAGGUUCCUUUUUAAAAUGAAAGAACACGCAUGCUUAACCCAAAAAAUCUCAAAGCCAAAAGUACUUUCCUUCACAGUGGAUUGAGCUAGGUGUGGGGCCAGCAGUUUUUGGAAAAGGCUUCAUUGCUGUUCUCCAAGAAAUGUACACAUCAGCAUUAAACAGCCACAUCCGACUAAAAGACCUACACCAGGAAGAACACCAGUACUAUAUUCUGCACCUUGCACCACAUCAUAUGCUUGCACUGCCCAAAUAUGUUCCACAUGGCUGUCUUUCCUUUGUGCCAAUGACUCCUAAGGAGCCAGAAGACUGCCAGUAAAAAAGAAGCAAGUUAGGAGUACUAGAGACUAACAGAUGUUAAAGUUGGGAAAAAACAUCACAAUCAUCUAUGGUAUUCAGCCCACACAAAACAAGGAAUAUUCCCAAGGCUAUCUGUAUGGUGUCAAUGUACACUUGCAAAAAUUAUAGAGACAUAAAUAUUUUUCAAGUAAUUGGCACCUGGAACAAUACCUCUCUAGAGUAGACAGAGGCUGUGCCUGAACGGUUAUGUAUAAUAGGCCUGCCUUAGUCUCUAAAGGCAAUGUGAUGUCAUGUCCAUGUGCCUGAAUCUUCUUCCUCCCAAAACAGGGUGCCCACAUGGCAUAUGGCAGGUACAGCUCCUGAAAGACAACGUCCUGAACCUGUGCAUUGUCUGAGGGUGAUGGUGGGCAACAGAGUGUGAGCAGUCUGGCCACUAAUGGUCCAAGCACUCUGAUCUGCUUAUCUUACAAGCAUGAGUUCAAUGAGAUAGACUAUGUUGUAUGAGAAACACAGCAGAACUAAUGUUUUUUGACAAACUUUAAAGUUUAGCUUUUUAUAGGAACAGUCUCAACAUAAAUGGGAGUUUUGGAUGAAUGAUGUCUAGGCUAUACAUUAUGCAAGGAAAACGCUAAAGCUUGAGUGAAUAUUUUGGUUUCAACUCCCAU